GACGAACGCUGGCGGCGUGCCUAAUACAUGCAAGUCGAGCGCAGGAAAUCGACGGAACCCUUCGGGGGGAAGUCGACGGAAUGAGCGGCGGACGGGCGAGUAACACGUAAAGAACCUGCCCUCAGGUCUGGGAUAACCACGAGAAAUCGGGGCUAAUACCGGAUGGGUCAUCGGACCGCAUGGUCCGAGGAUGAAAGGCGCUUCGGCGGCGCCUGGGGAUGGCUUUGCGGUGCAUUAGCUAGUUGGUGGGGUAAUGGCCCACCAAGGCGACGAUGCAUAGCCGACCGGAGAGGGUGAUCGGCCACACUGGGACUGAGACACGGCCCAGACUCCUACGGGAGGCAGCAGUAGGGAAUCUUCCACAAUGGACGAAAGUCUGAUGGAGCAACGCCGCGUGAACGAUGAAGGCCUUCGGGUCGUAAAGUUCUGUUGUAAGGGAAGAACAAGUGCCGCAGGCAAUGGCGGCACCUUGACGGUACCUUGCGAGAAAGCCACGGCUAACUACGUGCCAGCCGCCGCGGUAA
Molecule: ribosomal RNA, 524 nt
Filed under: uncultured bacterium
Lineage: Bacteria
Description: partial 16S ribosomal RNA
Rfam family: Bacterial small subunit ribosomal RNA
Source: RNAcentral